This 545-nucleotide ribosomal RNA is filed under the name Oliva rufofulgurata. RNAcentral describes it as "partial 16S ribosomal RNA". It matches the Rfam family "Bacterial large subunit ribosomal RNA", at positions 1798 to 2613 of the family's 2925-position model. The record is from RNAcentral. Lineage: Eukaryota; Metazoa; Mollusca; Gastropoda; Neogastropoda; Olividae.
GCCUGUUUAUCAAAAACAUCGCUCCUUGUUAUAUAAAAUUGAGGAGUUGGACCUGCCCGGUGAAAAUUUUUAACGGCCGCGGUACUCUGACCGUGCAAAGGUAGCAUAAUCAUUUGCCUUAUAAUUGAAGGCUAGUAUGAAUGGUUUGACGAGAAUAUAACUGUCUCUACCUAAUUUAAUAGAAAUUUAUAUUUGGGUGAAGAAGCCCAGAUAAAAUUAAAAGACAAGAAGACCCUAUCGAGCUUAAAAUAAAUUAGCAGAUUGAUAACAAUAAUUAAUAAAAGUAUUAACUCCUAAACAUUUUAGUUGGGGCGACUGAGGAACAGAUAAAGCUUCCUUAUAUAUAGUAAAGUUUACUAACAUUGAUCCAAAAAAUUUUGAUUAAUGAAAUUAGUUACCGUAGGGAUAACAGCAUUAUCUUUUUUGAGAGCUCUAAUCGAAAAAAAGGUUUGUGACCUCGAUGUUGGACCAGAAUAUCCUAAAGGUGUAGCAGCCUUUAAGGGUUGGUCUGUUCGACCAUUAAAAUUCUACGUGAUCUGAGUUCA